GUGUUUCGAACUAUAUUCCUAGCGGGCAAGGUUUUUUCAAAAAAUGAAAAAAAUCAUAAUCAGUCUAGGUAAUAAAAAUUAAAAAAAAAAAAAAAAUUGUAAUAAUUUUGUUAAUUUUUUACAAUAUUUUUUUUUAUUUAUAC
Molecule: small nucleolar RNA, 143 nt
Organism: Plasmodium relictum
Lineage: Eukaryota; Apicomplexa; Aconoidasida; Haemosporida; Plasmodiidae
Product: small nucleolar RNA snoR31
Exons: 1
Source: RefSeq, a predicted model, not a curated record